This 162-nucleotide non-coding RNA is filed under the name Clostridium niameyense. RNAcentral describes it as "Lysine riboswitch". It matches the Rfam family "Lysine riboswitch aptamer". From Rfam's summary of the family: Riboswitches are metabolite binding domains within certain messenger RNAs that serve as precision sensors for their corresponding targets. The record is from RNAcentral. Lineage: Bacteria; Bacillati; Bacillota; Clostridia; Eubacteriales; Clostridiaceae.
UAUGGAGAGGUGCUGUAAUUAAGAGUAUUUAUUAGUAGUCGGCGGAUGAUGAUAAAUAAAGAAAGGAAUUACGGCCGAAGGAAAAUUUUUGGUGAGAAGUUUUCCUGGCUUUAUAUAAAAUAUAUAUAAGGCUGUCACUUUAAAAAAAGUGGAGCGCUGCAU